RNAcentral lists this ribosomal RNA (353 nucleotides) under uncultured bacterium. RNAcentral describes it as "bacterial SSU rRNA". It matches the Rfam family "Bacterial small subunit ribosomal RNA", at positions 9 to 380 of the family's 1533-position model. The record is from RNAcentral.
GAGUUUGAUCCUGGCUCAGGAUAAACGCUGGCGGCGUGCCUAACACAUGCAAGUCCGAACGCUCUGCGCAAGCAGGGAGUGGCGGACGGGUGAGUAACACGUGGGGAUCUACCCUUGAAGUGAGGAAUACCGGCGAGAAAUCGCCGACAAUACCGCAUACGUUUCGCAAGAAACAAAGCUCGCAAGGGCGCUUUGAGAUGACCCUGCGGCUGAUUAGCUAGUUGGUGAGGUCAAAGCCCACCAAGGCGACGAAUCAGUAGCUGGUCUGAGAGGACGAUCAGCCACACUGGGAUUGAGAACGGCCCAGACUCCUACGGGGGGCAGCAGUGAGGAAUUUUCGUCAAUGGGGGCAA